RNAcentral lists this ribosomal RNA (564 nucleotides) under uncultured bacterium. Its description in RNAcentral is "bacterial SSU rRNA". It matches the Rfam family "Bacterial small subunit ribosomal RNA", at positions 338 to 916 of the family's 1533-position model. The record is from RNAcentral.
CCUACGGGAGGCAGCAGUAAGGGAUAUUGCGACAAUGGACGCAAGUCUGACGCAGCAACGCCGCGUGCGGGAUGACGGCCUUCGGGUUGUAAACCGCUUUUCUGUGGGAAGAGACAGGACGGUACCACAGGAAGAAGUCACGGCUAACUACGUGCCAGCAGCCGCGGUAAAACGUAGGUGGCGAGCGUUAUCCGGAUUUACUGGGUGUAAAGCGUGUGCAGGCGGUCGUGUAAGUAGCGCGUGAAAGCGCCCGGCUUAACCGGGCGAGGACGUGCUGUACUGCGCGACUGGAGAUAGGUAGAGGCGAGUGGAAUUCCGGGUGUAGUGGUGAAAUGCGUAGAGAUCCGGAGGAACACCUGAGGCGGAGGCGACUCGCUGGGCCUGUUCUGACGCUCAGACACGACAGCAUGGGGAGCGAACGGGAUUAGAAACCCCGGUAGUCCAUGCCGUAAACGAUGCAGACUAGGUAUCGCGGGGGUAAAACCCGGCGGCGCCGUAGCAAACGCGCUAAGUCUGCCACCUGGGGACUACGGCCGCAAGGUUAAAACUCAAAGGAAUUGACGG